ACGCUCGACACCUACGGGGGGCAGCAGUGGGGAAUAUUGCACAAUGGGGGAAACCCUGAUGCAGCGACGCCGCGUGAGCGAAGAAGUAUUUCGGUAUGUAAAGCUCUAUCAGCAGGGAAGAAACUGACGGUACCUGACUAAGAAGCACCGGCUAAAUACGUGCCAGCACGCCGGACGGUUAAUCGUGAGGCGGGCGUGGACGAAGGC
RNAcentral lists this ribosomal RNA (207 nucleotides) under uncultured bacterium. RNAcentral's name for it is "partial 16S ribosomal RNA". It matches the Rfam family "Bacterial small subunit ribosomal RNA", at positions 328 to 545 of the family's 1533-position model. The record is from RNAcentral.